RNAcentral lists this ribosomal RNA (426 nucleotides) under uncultured bacterium. Its description in RNAcentral is "bacterial SSU rRNA". It matches the Rfam family "Bacterial small subunit ribosomal RNA", at positions 85 to 544 of the family's 1533-position model. The record is from RNAcentral.
UUCGGCCAUAGUGGCGCACGGGUGAGUAACGCGUGGGAACCUACCCUGAAGUGGGGGAUAACCUCGGGAAACUGAGGCUAAUACCGCAUAUGCCCUGAGGGGCAAAGACUUCGGUCGCUUUAGGACGGGCCCGCGCCCGAUUAGGUAGUUGGUGAGGUAAGAGCUCACCAAGCCGACGAUCGGUAGCUGGUCUGAGAGGAUGAUCAGCCACACUGGGACUGAGACACGGCCCAGACUCCUACGGGAGGCAGCAGUGGGGAAUAUUGGACAAUGGGCGCAAGCCUGAUCCAGCCAUGCCGCGUGAGUGAAGAAGGCCUUCGGGUUGUAAAGCUCUUUCAGCGGGGACGAUGAUGACGGUACCCGCAGAAGAAGCCCCGGCUAACUUCGUGCCAGCAGCCGCGGUAAUACGAAGGGGGCUAGCGUUGU